CCUACGGGGGGCAGUAGUGGGGAAUAUUGGACAAUGGGCGAAAGCCUGAUCCAGCCAUGCCGCGUGUGUGAAGAAGGCCUUCGGGUUGUAAAGCACUUUCAGUGGGGAAGAAAGCCUUGGGGCUAAUACCCUCGAGGAAGGACAUCACCCACAGAAGAAGCACCGGCUAACUCCGUGCCAGCAGCCGCGGUAAUACGGAGGGUGCGAGCGUUAAUCGGAAUUACUGGGCGUAAAGCGCGCGUAGGCGGUCUGAUAAGCCGGUUGUGAAAGCCCCGGGCUCAACCUGGGAACGGCAUCCGGAACUGUCAGGCUAGAGUGCAGGAGAGGAAGGUAGAAUUCCCGGUGUAGCGGUGAAAUGCGUAGAGAUCGGGAGGAAUACCAGUGGCGAAGGCGGCCUUCUGGACUGACACUGACGCUGAGGUGCGAAAGCGUGGGUAGCAAACAGGAUUAGAUACCCCUGUAGUC
This 465-nucleotide ribosomal RNA is filed under the name Vreelandella stevensii. Its description in RNAcentral is "partial 16S ribosomal RNA". It matches the Rfam family "Bacterial small subunit ribosomal RNA", at positions 338 to 795 of the family's 1533-position model. The record is from RNAcentral. Lineage: Bacteria; Pseudomonadati; Pseudomonadota; Gammaproteobacteria; Oceanospirillales; Halomonadaceae.